AUUGAACGCUGGCGGAAUGCUUUACACAUGCAAGUCGAACGGCAGCACGGACUUCGGUCUGGUGGCGAGUGGCGAACGGGUGAGUAAUGUAUCGGAACGUGCCCAGUCGUGGGGGAUAACGUAGUGAAAAUUACGCUAAUACCGCAUACGAUCUAUGGAUGAAAGCGGGGGAUCGCAAGACCUCGCGCGAUUGGAGCGGCCGAUAUCAGAUUAGGUAGUUGGUGGGGUAAAGGCCCACCAAGCCAACGAUCUGUAGCUGGUCUGAGAGGACGACCAGCCACACUGGAACUGAGACACGGUCCGGCCUCCUACGGGAGGCAGCAGUGGGGAAUUUUGGACAAUGGGCGAAAGCCUGAUCUAGCCAUUCCGCGUGCAGGAUGAAGGCCCUCGGGUUGUAAACUGCUUUUGUACAGAACGAAAAGGUUUCUACUAAUACUAGGAGCUCAUGACGGUACUGUAAGAAUAAGCACCGGCUAACUACGUGCCAGCCGCCGCCGUAA
Molecule: ribosomal RNA, 500 nt
Filed under: uncultured bacterium
Lineage: Bacteria
Description: partial 16S ribosomal RNA
Rfam family: Bacterial small subunit ribosomal RNA
Source: RNAcentral